RNAcentral lists this long non-coding RNA (1413 nucleotides) under Delphinapterus leucas (beluga whale). Its description in RNAcentral is "lncRNA (ENSDLEG00000000294.1)". The record is from RNAcentral. Lineage: Eukaryota; Metazoa; Chordata; Mammalia; Artiodactyla; Monodontidae.
AUUAAGCCGAGUGGAUCCCCCCAUGGAUUCUUUAUUUGGUUCACCUUAGGGAGAAGCUUAUGGUGUGGUGGGGAAGGUGAUAAAUCUGCAUCUGAAGACCUGCACUCCGAUUCUGGAUUUUAAACUUUUGGUUUGGAAAGUUAUUCCACCUCAUUUUGGUACAACUCGGAUGGAAUGACUCACCUGAUAAAUCGUCUUGUCAGGGAGUCGGAGAGCUGCAGUGUAGUGUUAGACAGCCACCGGCCACCUAAUCAGAACAACAGCCCUGCCCUGCAACUGAUGAAGAUCAUAAGCAAAAAGCAAGAACACUUAUCCUGCAGGUACCAAGUUAGCAAGACUUCCCAGAUUCAGCACAAGGAUCCAGACCUCAGCUUGAGGUAAAGCCCUUAGUAGACUCUAAUUCACUGUGUCCUCCAGAGGGGUCGAAUAUUAUGUGUCCUAAUCCCAGGUAAGCAGAUGCACAAGGACCUCAAAAGUUAAAGCCUGAGAAGGCAAAGAAUAAAGUCUCUCCCCUUGAGCCUAGGUAAUUAUUUAAUAAACAUGGAAUGAAAUGUCUGUUCAGUGUCAGGCAGUGGGGUGGGUGAUGGCAAAGACUCCUGAUUAUGAGACAAUGAAAUGUGGUCCCAGAGGAAAGAGGGAGCUGCUCUCUGUGGGUUCUAGUCUGGCAGGGAAGACAGGUGUGCACACAAGAACCACACCCAGAGAUUCAGUCAACACUGUAACGUGACACCAUAACAGAGGCACUGAUAUGCACAGUGAGGUUAUUUGCUGGAAAUUCUAGAGGAGAAGACAUUUAUUCCACAUCUUGAAAAAUGAGCUGCUAAGGUGGUGCUCUGAAUUCAGCUUAGUGAUUUGACAGAGGAAUGCACAGCCCCAGCUCUGCCCCUUCCUCCCGCCAUUUUCUUCUGAGCAAGCUGUGUGGCUGACAGGGUCUUGGUGCUCUGGCCAGGUGUUGGGCCUGAGUCUCUGAGGUGGGAGAGCCUAGUUCAGGACAUUGGACCACCAGAGAUCUCCCGGCCCCACGUAAUAUCAAUUGGCAAGAGUUCUCCCAGAGAUCUCCGUUUCAACCCUAAGACCCAGCUCCACUCAACGACCAGCAAGCUCCAGUGCUGGACAUCCUAUGCCAAACAACUAGCAAGACAGGAACACAACCCCAUCCAUUAGCAGAGAGGCUGCCUAAAAUCAUAAGUUCACAGACACCCCAAAACACACCACCGGAUGUGGUCCUGCCCACCACAAAGACCAGAUCCAGCCUCAUCCACCAGAACACAGGCACCAGUCCCUCCACCAGGAAGCCUACACAACCCACUGAACCAACCUUACGCACUGGGGGCAGACACCAAAAACAGCGGGAACUACGAAGCUGCCUGCGAAAGGGAGACCCCAAACACAGUAAGUUAAGCAAAACGAGAA